RNAcentral lists this ribosomal RNA (902 nucleotides) under Microbacterium sp. RAG-01. Its description in RNAcentral is "bacterial SSU rRNA". It matches the Rfam family "Bacterial small subunit ribosomal RNA", at positions 77 to 990 of the family's 1533-position model. The record is from RNAcentral. Lineage: Bacteria; Bacillati; Actinomycetota; Actinomycetes; Micrococcales; Microbacteriaceae.
GGCUUGCCCCUUGGAUCAGUGGCGAACGGGUGAGUAACACGUGAGCAAUCUGCCCCUGACUCUGGGAUAAGCGCUGGAAACGGCGUCUAAUACUGGAUACGAGCCGCAGCCGCAUGGCUAGUGGUUGGAAAGAUUUUUCGGUCAGGGAUGAGCUCGCGGCCUAUCAGCUUGUUGGUGAGGUAAUGGCUCACCAAGGCGUCGACGGGUAGCCGGCCUGAGAGGGUGACCGGCCACACUGGGACUGAGACACGGCCCAGACUCCUACGGGAGGCAGCAGUGGGGAAUAUUGCACAAUGGGCGGAAGCCUGAUGCAGCAACGCCGCGUGAGGGAUGACGGCCUUCGGGUUGUAAACCUCUUUUAGCAGGGAAGAAGCGUGAGUGACGGUACCUGCAGAAAAAGCACCGGCUAACUACGUGCCAGCAGCCGCGGUAAUACGUAGGGUGCAAGCGUUAUCCGGAAUUAUUGGGCGUAAAGAGCUCGUAGGCGGUUUGUCGCGUCUGCUGUGAAAUCCCGAGGCUCAACCUCGGGCCUGCAGUGGGUACGGGCAGACUAGAGUGCGGUAGGGGAGAUUGGAAUUCCUGGUGUAGCGGUGGAAUGCGCAGAUAUCAGGAGGAACACCGAUGGCGAAGGCAGAUCUCUGGGCCGUAACUGACGCUGAGGAGCGAAAGGGUGGGGAGCAAACAGGCUUAGAUACCCUGGUAGUCCACCCCGUAAACGUUGGGAACUAGUUGUGGGGUCCAUUCCACGGAUUCCGUGACGCAGCUAACGCAUUAAGUUCCCCGCCUGGGGAGUACGGCCGCAAGGCUAAAACUCAAAGGAAUUGACGGGGACCCGCACAAGCGGCGGAGCAUGCGGAUUAAUUCGAUGCAACGCGAAGAACCUUACCAAGGCUUGACAUAUA